RNAcentral lists this ribosomal RNA (341 nucleotides) under uncultured Methanococcoides sp. Its description in RNAcentral is "bacterial SSU rRNA". It matches the Rfam family "Archaeal small subunit ribosomal RNA", at positions 347 to 688 of the family's 1478-position model. Lineage: Archaea; Methanobacteriati; Methanobacteriota; Methanomicrobia; Methanosarcinales; Methanosarcinaceae. The record is from RNAcentral.
UCUUUACAAUGCAGGAAACUGCGAUAAGGGGACCCCGAGUGCCAGCAUCUAAUGCUGGCUGUCCAGCUGUGUAAACAGCAGUUGUUAGCAAGGGCCGGGCAAGACCGGUGCCAGCCGCCGCGGUAACACCGGCGGCCCGAGUGGUAACCGAUUUUAUUGGGUUUAAAGGGUCCGUAGCCGGCCUGUUAAGUCUCUUGGGAAAUCUGGCGGCUUAAUCGUCAGACGUUCAAGAGAUACUGACAGGCCUGGGACCGGUAGAGGUGGGAGGUACUCCAAGGGUAGAGGUGAAAUUUUGUAAUCCUUGGGGGACCAUCGAUGGCGAAGGCAUCCCACUAGAACGG